This is a long non-coding RNA of Bufo gargarizans (Asiatic toad), 1059 nucleotides long. RefSeq lists it as uncharacterized. The transcript is spliced from 3 exons. NCBI's taxonomy places the organism in Eukaryota, Metazoa, Chordata, Amphibia, Anura, Bufonidae. The record is from RefSeq and is a predicted model, not a curated record.
GUCGAUGUUAGCGUCAAGAAGAAGUACACUCCUUUUACACCAUUGUCAGCUGAUUCCACAAAGAUGUCUACAGAACCUGUUCUAUUAAACGCUUAUACAACUGGAGCUCCCCUGAUAGAAUGGAGAUGGAGUCAUCAAACUGUCUGGAAUCAGUCCUGAAGCCAAGAUUUCAAGAAGUGUAAAGCAAUCUGCGGUGCUCACUGCCCCGAUUGACUGCCCAACAAAAUCAAUAUGUUUUGUCAGAGUGGAAGAAAAAGAGAGGAACUGUGAUCCUGUCUGCACAGCUGAAUCCCUCACAUGAUUUAAGCACUUAAGAUGAAGACUGUAUAAUUAAGUGGAGACUUGCACUCAAGUCUCCCAUUGCACCAAGGCAGUUAUUAAGAUGAGUGAAACCUACUAUCAUUAUCCAGUAAAGAGCGUGAUGAUUGGCUGCUCUGUGUCAGGCCUCUGGUGGCUCUCUUUGUCACAAAUGCGAAAAGGAGAGUUUGCGUUCUGUCAAAACUGGCUUUGCCAAAUGUUAUCGUUUUAAAUGCCGUGAAAGAGAGGGAGCUGGGCCUAGGGGUAUACACAGACCCAUAUGCUGGUGACAGUGAUACAAGUGUAAUUCUAGACUAUUAGAGUGACACAUAAGAUCAUUUUUGCCCUAGAACAUGAGACAGCUGAAGAGAUUAUGCAGGACAGGCUGUCACGCAAUAAAAUUUUCAGAAAUCUGUUAACCCCAGAUCUGAUCCAGUGAAUAUUUUAUUGCUUAACACUCUGAAAAAGCAUAUUCAUUAACUACACACACACAGGCUGGUGGCUGAGGAGAUUAAAGGUUAAGGAAAUAAAAAUUUGCUUGCCAUCAAGAGUGAGAGAGAAGUAAUCAUACCUCAGCAAUGCAGAUUGUAAUCAGUAUGAGCGCUUUAGCUAAAAUUAGGUCCCUAUAAAUAGCAGAUUAAAAUGUGCGUGGGCUGUCGAAGAAAAAAAAUGACAAGAAUUAGCUGUAGGAAAAUGUUAUGUAUUGUAUAUAACACUAUCUUGUAGGAGUCUAGCAAAAUCAUAUGUACGUUUACCCCUCUU